Molecule: transfer RNA, 72 nt
Filed under: Streptomyces lydicus
Lineage: Bacteria; Bacillati; Actinomycetota; Actinomycetes; Kitasatosporales; Streptomycetaceae
Description: tRNA-OTHER
Source: RNAcentral
GCGGCGCCUCGCUCUAUGAGCACCGCUCUCCUUAAAGCGGGUGUCGCGGGUUCGAAUCCUGCCGUGGCACCA